GGAUAGCAGCUCGAAAGGGCUAUUAAUACUCCAUAGGUUUAUAAACUAAAUUAAAGAGGCUCCUCUGGGGCCUUGCGUAAAACUAGGAAUAUGUCCUAUUAGGUAGUUGGCGGGGUAAAGGCCCACCAAGCCAAUGAUGGGUAGCUGGACUGAGAGGUUGAACAGCCGCAAUGGGAUUGAGAUAUGGCCCAUAUUCCUACGGGAAGCAGCAGUGAGGAAUUUUUCACAAUGGACGAAAGUCUGAUGGAGCAAUACCACGUGAACGAUGAAGGUCUUCUGAUUGUAAAGUUCUUUUAUUUAGGAAAAAAAGCGUGCUAGGAAAUGAGCGCGCCUUGAUGGUACUAAUUGAAUAAGUGACAGCUAACUAUGUGCCAGCAGCUGCGGUAAAACAUAGGUCACGAGCAUUAUCCGGAUUUAUUGGGCGUAAAGGAAGCGUAGGCGGGGAGGUUGAUCCAUUGUUAAAAGCAUUUGCUUAACAAAUGUGUGCAUUGGAGAUCGCCUCCCU
Molecule: ribosomal RNA, 505 nt
Filed under: uncultured Mycoplasma sp.
Lineage: Bacteria; Bacillati; Mycoplasmatota; Mollicutes; Mycoplasmatales; Mycoplasmataceae
Description: bacterial SSU rRNA
Rfam family: Bacterial small subunit ribosomal RNA
Source: RNAcentral